Long non-coding RNA from Toxorhynchites rutilus septentrionalis, 428 nucleotides. RefSeq lists it as uncharacterized. The record is from RefSeq and is a predicted model, not a curated record. The transcript is spliced from 3 exons. Lineage: Eukaryota; Metazoa; Arthropoda; Insecta; Diptera; Culicidae.
CUUGAGCUCUGAAUCGCGAGAUACCCUGCGGUUUAUCUGAGGACUACAAUGUUCUUCGACCAUUUUACUUAGAACUGUCCGACAUCGCGGAACCAUUGUGCGUUUUGUUCGCGAUCGGUUAAUUUGUGAUCAUUGUUAUUGAUUAAACAAAUAAACGCUCAAUUAAUUUAAAAGAGCUAAUAAAACAACAGGGAAAUUCCUUUCUUGGCGAAACCCGGCGAACCCAACACGUCGGAGAAAAGGCUGCGCCGUACCCUCGCGCCUCCAACGGACCCGCUGGAAGCUACCAACCGGCGGAGAAUCCGCCGCAAACAAGCAGAAGGAGUCGGUGAGGAAAUUUGUGUCCUCACCGCACUCCCCAGGUACCCUGUAUUGUAUAGUUUUGUCCAUGUGCACAUGUGAUGUCCCCAUAAUUUAAGCAAAAGUAA